GUCUAUGGCCAUACCACCCAGAACGCACCCAAUCUGGUCUGAUCUCGGAAGCUAAGCAGGGUCGGGCCUGGUUAGUACUUGGAUGGAAGAAAAGCUACUUCUCUCUGACCCUCAGAUCCCUACGUGCAGAAAACU
Molecule: ribosomal RNA, 135 nt
Filed under: Chinchilla lanigera (long-tailed chinchilla)
Lineage: Eukaryota; Metazoa; Chordata; Mammalia; Rodentia; Chinchillidae
Source: RNAcentral